Molecule: small RNA, 624 nt
Filed under: Arabidopsis thaliana (thale cress)
Lineage: Eukaryota; Viridiplantae; Streptophyta; Magnoliopsida; Brassicales; Brassicaceae
Description: ATSL195060
Source: RNAcentral
AAAUAAUUAAACACACAGGAGGACGAAAAACCCUAAAAGCUGUAAUGGGGGACAUUUCGAUUAAUCGGAACAAACUCAAUCAACCGGCUUAAUUGCUAAAGGUUUUCGAACUUUCUGGGUAAAUGAAUCGCACAGGAGAGGACGAACUAUCUAAAAUCAUAAUGGGAGACAAACUCGAUUUUUCAUAACAGACCAGUAACAAGGGAUUUGCUAAAGAUUUUCCAAAAAUACUUCACUGAAUAAAAUAUGAAGACAUGAUUGAAGAUAGCAACAUGCAGAAACUUGAAAUGACCUUACCGGAGACAUAAUCCGAUGAAAGUUAUCGGUGAAGGAAAGGGAAAGUAUGAGAGAGAUAGACGAAAGAGAGAGAGUUAACUGUUGUUGUUUUUCCGCACGGUUUACAAUGAAAAAGAGAUAAAAGGUAUUGUAAAAAGACGCAGUUGUUGAGCGCGAAAACUGCUCAGUAAACCGUGGGAACAAAAUGGACAUUUCACAACCAAAUGUGGUAUGAGUUGUAAUGCCCGAAGAAAUAUGGCAGAUUACAUAACGAUUGGGAAAAAUAUGGCAGAUUUUAUAAUUUUCCUACAUUUAAUUCAUAUCAAACAACAUUUGAACAUUUAAAAC